UACGAACCACACAAACGUUAUUCGGAAUUACUGGGCUUAAAGGGUGCGCAGGCGGCGUGGAAAGUUGGGUGUGAAAUCCCUCAGCUUAACUGAGGAACAGCGCCCAAAACUACCAUGCUCGAGGGAGAUAGAGGAAUGCGGAACUUAGGGUGGAGCGGUGAAAUGCGUUGAUAUCCUAGGGAACACCGGUGGCGAAAGCGGCAUUCUGGAUCUCUUCUGACGCUGAGGCACGAAAGCUAGGGUAGCAAACGGG
RNAcentral lists this ribosomal RNA (253 nucleotides) under uncultured bacterium. RNAcentral's name for it is "partial 16S ribosomal RNA". It matches the Rfam family "Bacterial small subunit ribosomal RNA", at positions 524 to 776 of the family's 1533-position model. The record is from RNAcentral.